GAUGAACGCUGGCGGCGUGCUUAACACAUGCAAGUCGAACGGGAUCCAAGGGGUGCUUGCACUUUUUGGUGAGAGUGGCGAACGGGUGAGUAACACGUGAGUAACCUGUCCUUUUCUUUGGGAUAAGCAUUCGAAAGGGUGUUUAAUACCUUAUGUUCUGUCUGCCUCGCAUGGGGUGGGUGGGAAAGGCUUUGGCCGGAUUUGGGUGGGCUCGCGGUCUAUCAGCGUGUUGGUGGGGUGAUGGCUUACCAAGGCUUUGACGGGUAGCCGGCCUGAGAGGGUGGUCGGUCACAUUGGGACUGAGAUACGGCCCAGACUCCUGCGGGAGGCAGCAGUGGGGGAUAUUGCACAAUGGGCGAAAGCCUGAUGCAGCGACGCCGCGUGGGGGAUGAAGGCCUUCGGGUUGUAAACUUCUUUUGCUCUGAACAAGGCAUGCCAGUGGGUGUGUUGAGUGUAGGGGUUGAUUAGCGCCGGCUAACUACGUG
This 485-nucleotide ribosomal RNA is filed under the name uncultured bacterium. Its description in RNAcentral is "partial 16S ribosomal RNA". It matches the Rfam family "Bacterial small subunit ribosomal RNA", at positions 28 to 507 of the family's 1533-position model. The record is from RNAcentral.